Molecule: long non-coding RNA, 875 nt
Filed under: Nicotiana benthamiana
Lineage: Eukaryota; Viridiplantae; Streptophyta; Magnoliopsida; Solanales; Solanaceae
Description: long non-coding RNA (NBEN_LNC039135)
Source: RNAcentral
UGAAAUUUUUGCUUAAAAAUGAGUGUAAGAUUUCAUACCUAUAUAUUGCUGGUAAAAUCCCCUUUCAAAAGUCUCCUAAUUUGGAGUUGAAAUGAAGAAGUUAUGAAAUUUUGGCUAAAUCUCGUUUUGGUUCUGCUUUAAAAUCAUUGGACAGGUCUUUAUCGCAUUCGCGAUGAAGCCAACUUAAGUGGCCUUCGCAUUUGCGUUCCAUGGCUCGCGUUCACAAAGCUUUGGCUCCUCAAGCCUAUGCGUUCACGGGACAGUGGAUGCAUUCGCGAUGCACAAAAUGGUGAAACCCUACCCAGGUCUUUAACCUUACGCGUUCGCAAGUGCAUGGACGCGUUCGCGAAGGGUACCCUCUCUUUAGCCUCGCAUUCACGUCUCAAGCUUUGCGUUCGCGAAGAAUAAAUCUGGCACCUGGGAGAUUCGCUUUACGCAUUUGCGAGAGAGACCACGCGAACGCGAAGAGUAAAAUCUCUGGGUACUGAACAACAAAAACCUACAACUUUUUGAGCUCCAAAAACCUUCCGAAAUACACCCGAACCCACGGGGAUCAAAGUCAAAUAUACGUACUAACUCAAUAAUAUCAUACGAACCUAUCUGUACGAUUAAAUCACCAAAAUAACCUCAAAAUGAAUGAAAUAUUUUAAAACUUCUUAAAGCAUCAAACUUUGCAUUUGCGGUCCAAAUGACGUCAAACGGAUUCCAUUUCUUACCAAACUUUACAGAGUUAUCUUAAAUCACAUAUAAGAUCUGUACCGGGCACCAAAUCUAAAUACGGGCCAAAUACUGAUAUGUUCUAAUAAAAAUUUAUUUCAAAUUCCUUUAAAUAAUUUAGAAAAUAAUUUUCUUUAAAAUUUAUUUCUUGGGCUAGG